This 253-nucleotide ribosomal RNA is filed under the name uncultured bacterium. Its description in RNAcentral is "partial 16S ribosomal RNA". It matches the Rfam family "Bacterial small subunit ribosomal RNA", at positions 524 to 776 of the family's 1533-position model. The record is from RNAcentral.
UACGGAGGGUGCAAGCGUUAUCCGGAUUCACUGGGCUUAAAGGGCGCGUAGGCGGCCAGGUAAGUCAGUGGUGAAAUCUCCGAGCUUAACUCGGAAACUGCCUUUGAUACUCUCUGUCUUGAAUAUGGUGGAGGUAAGCGGAAUAUGUCAUGUAGCGGUGAAAUGCUUAGAGAUGACAUAGAACACCUAUUGCGAAGGCAGCUUACUACGCCUAUAUUGACGCUGAGGCACGAAAGCGUGGGGAGCAAACAGG